UUAUUAUGUAUUUUCCUUUGUAAAACCAUGGGUUGUAUUUGGGCUGUAAUCAGUCAAAAGAACCAAACUUGAAGGUAUGAUAUAUAUAUGCUUUCUACUAUAUAGUUUUGUUGAUGAGCCUUGUGUAGGAGAGAUGGUUUUGGACCUUAAGUUGAAGGCUUUCAAGUUUUGGACCUUGGGUGACAUAUAAUGAAUAUAUUAUGUCCCAAAAGUAAUUUAUUUAAGAUUGAUAAUCCUUG
This 239-nucleotide long non-coding RNA is filed under the name Gossypium barbadense (sea-island cotton). RNAcentral's name for it is "long non-coding RNA (GBAR_LNC016197)". The record is from RNAcentral. Lineage: Eukaryota; Viridiplantae; Streptophyta; Magnoliopsida; Malvales; Malvaceae.